This 492-nucleotide ribosomal RNA is filed under the name uncultured bacterium. RNAcentral's name for it is "partial 16S ribosomal RNA". It matches the Rfam family "Bacterial small subunit ribosomal RNA", at positions 29 to 507 of the family's 1533-position model. The record is from RNAcentral.
AGUGAACGCUGGCGGUAGGCCUAACACAUGCAAGUCGAACGGCAGCACAGUAAGAGCUUGCUCUUACGGGUGGCGAGUGGCGGACGGGUGAGGAAUACAUCGGAAUCUACUUUUUCGUGGGGGAUAACGUAGGGAAACUUACGCUAAUACCGCAUACGACCUACGGGUGAAAGCAGGGGAUCUUCGGACCUUGCGCGAUUGAAUGAGCCGAUGUCGGAUUAGCUAGUUGGCGGGGUAAAGGCCCACCAAGGCGACGAUCCGUAGCUGGUCUGAGAGGAUGAUCAGCCACACUGGAACUGAGACACGGUCCAGACUCCUACGGGAGGCAGCAGUGGGGAAUAUUGGACAAUGGGCGCUAGCCUGAUCCAGCCAUACCGCGUAGGUGAAGAAGGCCUUCGGGUUGUAAAGCCCUUUUGUUGGGAAAGAAAAGCAGCAGGUUAAUACCCCGCUGUUCUGACGGUACCCAAAGAAUAAGCACCGGCUAACUUCGUG